This 502-nucleotide ribosomal RNA is filed under the name uncultured bacterium. RNAcentral's name for it is "bacterial SSU rRNA". It matches the Rfam family "Bacterial small subunit ribosomal RNA", at positions 8 to 507 of the family's 1533-position model. The record is from RNAcentral.
AGAGUUUGAUCAUGGCUCAGAUUGAACGCGUGGCGGCAUGUCCUUACACAUGCAAGUCGAACGGUAACGGGCCUUCGGGUGCCGACGAGUGGCGAACGGGUGAGUAAUGCAUCGGAACGUACCUUCAGUGGGGGAUAACGUAGCGAAAGUUACGCUAAUACCGCAUAUUCUGUGAGCAGGAAAGCAGGGGAUCGCAAGACCUUGCGCUGAUUGAGCGGCCGAUGUCAGAUUAGCUAGUUGGUGAGGUAAAGGCUCACCAAGGCGACGAUCUGUAGCGGGGUCUGAGAGGAUGAUCCGCCACACUGGAACUGAGACACGGUCCAGACUCCUACGGGAGGCAGCAGUGGGGAAUUUGGACAAUGGGGCAACCCUGAUCCAGCCAUGCCGCGUGAGUGAAGAAGGCCUUCGGGUUGUAAAGCUCUUUCGGCCGGGAAGAAAUCGCAUGGGUUAAUACCCUGUGCGGAUGACGGUACCGGCAUAAGAAGCACCGGCUAACUACGUG